Molecule: ribosomal RNA, 497 nt
Filed under: uncultured bacterium
Lineage: Bacteria
Description: partial 16S ribosomal RNA
Rfam family: Bacterial small subunit ribosomal RNA
Source: RNAcentral
GAUGAACGCUGGCGGCGUGCCUAAUACAUGCAAGUCGAGCGAACGGACGAGAAGCUUGCUUCUCUGAUGUUAGCGGCGGACGGGUGAGUAACACGUGGAUAACCUACCUAUAAGACUGGGAUAACUUCGGGAAACCGGAGCUAAUACCGGAUAAUAUUUUGAACCGCAUGGUUCAAAAGUUAAAGACGGUCUUGCUGUCACUUAUAGAUGGAUCCGCGCUGCAUUAGCUAGUUGGUAAGGUAACGGCUUACCAAGGCAACGAUGCAUAGCCGACCUGAGAGGGUGAUCGGCCACACUGGAACUGAGACACGGUCCAGACUCCUACGGGAGGCAGCAGUAGGGAAUCUUCCGCAAUGGGCGAAAGCCUGACGGAGCAACGCCGCGUGAGUGAUGAAGGUCUUCGGAUCGUAAAACUCUGUUAUUAGGGAAGAACAGAUGUGUAAGUAACUGUGCACAUCUUGACGGUACCUAAUCAGAAAGCCACGGCUAACUACGUG